RNAcentral lists this ribosomal RNA (253 nucleotides) under uncultured bacterium. RNAcentral's name for it is "partial 16S ribosomal RNA". It matches the Rfam family "Bacterial small subunit ribosomal RNA", at positions 524 to 776 of the family's 1533-position model. The record is from RNAcentral.
UACGGAGGAUCCGAGCGUUAUCCGGAUUUAUUGGGUUUAAAGGGAGUGUAGAUGGAUGUUUAAGUCAGUUGUGAAAGUUUGCGGCUCAACCGUAAAAUUGCAGUUGAUACUGGAUAUCUUGAGUGCAGUUGAGGCAGGCGGAAUUCGUGGUGUAGCGGUGAAAUGCUUAGAUAUCACGAAGAACUCCGAUUGCGAAGGCAGCCUGCUAAGCUGCAACUGACAUUGAGGCUCGAAAGUGUGGGUAUCAAACAGG